UCCCUUGUGGCUGAGUGGUGAAGAAUCUGCCUGCCAAUGCAGGAGACACAGGUUCAAUCCCUGAUCUGGGAA
This 72-nucleotide transfer RNA is filed under the name Ovis aries (sheep). It matches the Rfam family "tRNA". Rfam says of the family: Transfer RNA (tRNA) molecules are approximately 80 nucleotides in length. Their secondary structure includes four short double-helical elements and three loops (D, anti-codon, and T loops). The record is from Rfam by way of RNAcentral. Lineage: Eukaryota; Metazoa; Chordata; Mammalia; Artiodactyla; Bovidae.